UGGCGGACGGGUGAGUAACGCGUAGGAAUCUGCCUGAUAGUGGGGGAUAGCCCGGAGAAAUUCGGAUUAAUACCGCAUAAUCUAUUCGUAGUAAAGUGGGGGACUUUCGAGCCUCACGCUAUCAGAUGAGCCUGCGUAAGAUUAGCUUGUUGGUAGGGUAAAAGCCUACCAAGGCUACGAUCUUUAGCUGGUCUGUGAGGAUGAUCAGCCACAUCGGGACUGAGACACGGCCCGAACUCCUACGGGAGGCAGCAGUGGGGAAUAUUGGACAAUGGGGGCAACCCUGAUCCAGCAAUACCGCGUGUGUGAAGAAGGCCUGAGGGUUGUAAAGCACUUUCAAUUGUGAAGAAAAGUUAACGGUUAAUAACCGUUAGCCUUGACGUUAACUUUAGAAGAAGCACCGGCUAACUCCGUGCCAGCAGCCGCGGUAAUACGGAGGGUGCAAGCGUUAAUCGGAAUUACUGGGCGUAAAGCGUGCGUAGGUGGUUUAUUAAGUCAGAUGUGAAAGCCCCGGGCUUAACCUGGGAACUGCAUUUGAAACUGGUAAACUAGAGUAUGGUAGAGGAAAGUGGAAUUUCUGGUGUAGCGGUGAAAUGCGUAGAUAUCAGAAGGAACAUCAAUGGCGAAGGCAGCUUUCUGGACCAAUACUGACACUGAGGUACGAAAGCGUGGGUAGCAAACAGGAUUAGAUACCCUGGUAGUCCACCCCGUAAACGAUGAUAACUAGCCGUUGGGGGGAUUUACCCUUUAGUGGCGAAGCUAACGCGUUAAGUUAUCCGCCUGGGGAGUACGGCCGCAAGGUUA
RNAcentral lists this ribosomal RNA (804 nucleotides) under uncultured marine bacterium. RNAcentral describes it as "bacterial SSU rRNA". It matches the Rfam family "Bacterial small subunit ribosomal RNA", at positions 96 to 896 of the family's 1533-position model. The record is from RNAcentral.